GGCAGACAGAAACUAUGGUACGAUCGGGGCGUUCCAGGUGGGACAAAAAGUCCUGGUGCUUAGGCCAGUAAAGGGAAAUAAACGUCAAGCAUCCUGGCAGGGCCCCUACAAGGUGGUAGCGCAGAUCUGCGAUACCACCUAUGUAAUUGCCAGUAGCGAGGACAAAAAGGUAUGCAAAUCCUUUCAUGUAAAUCUGCUAAAG
Non-coding RNA from Pelobates cultripes (western spadefoot toad), 202 nucleotides. The record is from the annotation of a GenBank genome assembly. Lineage: Eukaryota; Metazoa; Chordata; Amphibia; Anura; Pelobatidae.